AACCUUUCUUGGCCUUUUAGCUAAGAUCAAGUGUAGUAUUUGUUCUUAUCAAGUUAGUAUCUGAUAUGUGGGGCCCUCACGAUAUUAAAUUACUUUUUAGGGAGAGGGGCCACUAUUGUUGCUUGCUACUGAGCUUCUCGCGCGUUGCCUUGGCGUUGCACUAAAGCCUUGGCCUGGCACACACCUA
Small nuclear RNA from Cornus florida, 187 nucleotides. RefSeq annotates it as U2 spliceosomal RNA. Lineage: Eukaryota; Viridiplantae; Streptophyta; Magnoliopsida; Cornales; Cornaceae. The record is from RefSeq and is a predicted model, not a curated record. The transcript has a single exon.